AACGAACGCUGGCGGCAGGCUUAACACAUGCAAGUCGAACGCCCCGCAAGGGGAGUGGCAGACGGGUGAGUAACGCGUGGGAACAUACCCUUUCCUGCGGAAUAGCUCCGGGAAACUGGAAUUAAUACCGCAUACGCCCUACGGGGGAAAGAUUUAUCGGGGAAGGAUUGGCCCGCGUUGGAUUAGCUAGUUGGUGGGGUAAAGGCCUACCAAGGCGACGAUCCAUAGCUGGUCUGAGAGGAUGAUCAGCCACAUUGGGACUGAGACACGGCCCAAACUCCUACGGGAGGCAGCAGUGGGGAAUAUUGGACAAUGGGCGCAAGCCUGAUCCAGCCAUGCCGCGUGAGUGAUGAAGGCCUUAGGGUUGUAAAGCUCUUUCACCGAUGAAGAUAAUGACGGGAGUCGGAGAAGAAGCCCCGGCUAACUUCGU
This 430-nucleotide ribosomal RNA is filed under the name uncultured bacterium. RNAcentral's name for it is "partial 16S ribosomal RNA". It matches the Rfam family "Bacterial small subunit ribosomal RNA", at positions 29 to 506 of the family's 1533-position model. The record is from RNAcentral.